UACGUAGGGAGCAAGCGUUGUCCGGAAUCAUUGGGCGUAAAGCGCGCGUAGGUGGCCCCAUAAGUCCGCUGUGAAAGUCAAAGGCUCAACCUUUGAAAGCCGGUGGAUACUGUGGGACUAGAGUACGGAAGAGGCGAGUGGAAUUCCUGGUGUAGCGGUGGAAUGCGCAGAUAUCAGGAGGAACACCUGCGGUGUAGACAGCUUUCUGGACCACUUCUGACGCUGAGACACGAAAGCGUGGGUAGCAAACAGG
Molecule: ribosomal RNA, 253 nt
Filed under: uncultured bacterium
Lineage: Bacteria
Description: partial 16S ribosomal RNA
Rfam family: Bacterial small subunit ribosomal RNA
Source: RNAcentral